GUCCUUCCUCUUUAUUAUUUUCAUAUUCACAGUUUUGAUUUUUAUGAUAUGUAUGAGUUCCCUGCCUGUAGGCUUCUGCAUGUAUUAUGUACUCAAGGUUCUGCGUGCUUUCAUUUUUUCCAGAUCUGUCUGAAAACCAGGCGUGUGCUGACAUGUGUCUAUCCUAGAGCCUGCAGUCUGCACCCAUGCAUGGAGCAGAAGCCGCAGCCACGAGAAAGCUGCAUGCCUGCAUGGGAGACAAAGCUGUUGAGUUUCCCUUCAAAUCUUUGGUCAAAAAAAAAAGAAAGAAAAAACAUCAGUGAAAACUGUCUUUUCCCCAUGAGGCACGGGGGAUGGGAAUUGGGCCAAGAACGCAUCCACAUGGAGGACAACUCGAACAGCUUGCCUUGAUGACUAAUGAAGAAGUCUUCAAGGACUAUUACCUACCCCAAUUAAAAUAUAAUGCAAUAUGUUGUUUUCCAACCACAGCAAAGAUCUCUCCUCCUUAAAAGUUCCAGGUCGGCUAAAUAUGAUUGUUAGAGCUGAGAUUGCUGCCUCUCAACCUUGUCUCCAAGCACAGAUUCUCAUAUAGUUUUAUGGAUGGACGGAUGAAGGUCAAGUUCUGCAGCUCAAUUUUAAAACUGCUGUGAAGUCUAAAUUAUUCAUUGUGAAGGACAGGAGUGAUCAAUAAACCGGAAUAGUAAAAACAAAAAAAAAAUGUUCUGUGCUGAUUCAAGAAUUAGUAGUGAGUUGUCUUCUUGAUUUGUUACAUUUUUCCCUGAAUGCAGAAAAGAAGAGGUUGUCGUGUUUAUGCAUUUCAGAAAGAAAAA
Long non-coding RNA from Anguilla rostrata (American eel), 809 nucleotides. RefSeq lists it as uncharacterized. The record is from RefSeq and is a predicted model, not a curated record. The transcript is spliced from 2 exons. NCBI's taxonomy places the organism in Eukaryota, Metazoa, Chordata, Actinopteri, Anguilliformes, Anguillidae.